UUCAUGCCAAAACGUAGGCGCUUACGUCCACAUAUCGUUAUGGACUCCUACCCCUAACUUCACCCACACUUUAAAUUGGAUCAAAUCAGGCAUUCGUUUAGAGGUUUCAACUCAGAAUUUUGGCUGCAUGGGCAUGUGAAUCUAACCGUGAUUUCGAUUGGCACACGAGUAUCAAGAGUAUCAAUCCAACGUCUACGCCCAAAAACAAUCGAAAUCCUUCUCGGCAAGGUAACAACUUUCUUCUCAUAUGCCGAUUAAGUGAAUUCAUGAGGGCUGCUUGUGUUGUGAAGCUAGCCUGAAGCGACUUGAUAUCGAUUGCAUUGAUUUGUAUUAUUAGUGCAGGAUUGAUACUCGUGUGCCAAUCGAAAUCACGGUUAGUUUUAUAAGUAUGCAUGUUCCUUGUUUUUGUUACAUAAACAUAUAUCAUAUUCAGGCGAAACAUGUACAUAUUAUACUAGGGAAUGUGACGGAGAAUGCAUCUUUGGUGAUGUGAUUUGUUCGAAUUUAACAAACUACAGAACAGAGCAAUGGACAAUCAGCUGGUACGUCGCCGGAACGGGAUGCUCGUCGGGCGAAGACGGGUGCGGUAGGGUGUCGUGGAGGUGGGGUUUCAGGUUUGGGUGGUGCUUGAUGGAGAAAAUGGUGAUGGUAGAGGGUUGGGGAUAGAGGUUGAAGAUGAAGUUGGGGGUGAGUGGUGGGUCUCACACUUUUAAUAAUCCAUAUUUGUUUUUUAUUUUUUAAAGGGAUGGGUAAGUAAGUAAUUUCAGAUGGACUUAACGGAGAAAACUAACGGACAUCCACUCCAUGGACUAUCCGAGUAACAACUCGCCAAACCACAGGGAGCACCAGUGUAAUUUACAAAAGUUGGGGACUAUAGGUGUUAUUUUACAAAACCACAGGGGACAAGAGAAUAAUUUAGUAUUAUUCAUGUAAAAUAAGAGUAUCAUUUUUCGUCUUAAAAGAAAGGUGGUUCAAUAAUUAUGUGUUCAAUUCGUAAUUAUUGCUAGGAUGUUAGUAUCUUCUGGUGAAUUUAUUGUUGCACAAUUGAAUCAAAGAAAGAGCCGCCCAUUUUUUUUUA
Helianthus annuus (common sunflower) is the source of this 1078-nucleotide long non-coding RNA. RefSeq lists it as uncharacterized. The record is from RefSeq and is a predicted model, not a curated record. The transcript has 2 exons. Lineage: Eukaryota; Viridiplantae; Streptophyta; Magnoliopsida; Asterales; Asteraceae.